AAUUUGGAAAAUGGGGGGAACCCCUAAUCAACCAAUCCGCGGGUUAGGAGGAAGCCCUCGGGUUGUUAAGGUACUUUGGCCGAGAAGAAAAGGCAAUCCCCAAUACGGGAUUCUGGCUACGGUAAUCGGAGAAUAAGCAACGGCUAACUACGUGCCAGGAACCGCGGUAAUACGUAGGGUGCAAGCGUUAAUCGGAAUUACUGGGCGUAAAGCGUGUGUAGGCGGUUCGGAAAGAAAGAUGUGAAAUCCCAGGGCUCAACCUUGGAACUGCAUUUUUAACUGCCGAGCUAGAGUAUGUCAGAGGGGGGUAGAAUUCCACGUGUAGCAGUGAAAUGCGUAGAUAUGUGGAGGAAUACCGAUGGCGAAGGCAGCCCCCUGGGAUAAUACUGACGCUCAGACACGAAAGCGUGGGGAGCAAACAGG
RNAcentral lists this ribosomal RNA (423 nucleotides) under uncultured bacterium. RNAcentral describes it as "partial 16S ribosomal RNA". It matches the Rfam family "Bacterial small subunit ribosomal RNA", at positions 361 to 776 of the family's 1533-position model. The record is from RNAcentral.